This 545-nucleotide ribosomal RNA is filed under the name uncultured Glomeromycotina. Its description in RNAcentral is "SSU rRNA". It matches the Rfam family "Eukaryotic small subunit ribosomal RNA", at positions 548 to 1098 of the family's 1831-position model. Lineage: Eukaryota; Fungi; Glomeromycota. The record is from RNAcentral.
UUGGAGGGCAAGUCUGGUGCCAGCAGCCGCGGUAAUUCCAGCUCCAAUAGCGUAUAUUAAAGUUGUUGCAGUUAAAAAGCUCGUAGUUGAAUUUCGGGGUUCUACCGUUGGUCGGGCUUUGUCUGUACUGGUGUGUAGAAUUUCUACCUUCUGGGGAACCAUCAUGCUAUUAAUUUAGCGUGGUGGGAAACCAGGACCUUUACCUUGAAAAAAUUAGUGUGUUCAAAGCAGGCUUAUGUCUGAAUACAUUAGCGUGGAAUAAUAGAAUAGGACGGUGGUCCUGUUUUGUUGGUUUCUGAAUCACCGUAAUGAUUAAUAGGGAUAGUUGGGGGCAUUAGUAUUCAAUUGUCAGAGGUGAAAUUCUUGGAUUUAUUGAAGACUAACUUCUGCGAAAGCAUUUGCCAAGGAUGUUUUCAUUAAUCAAGAACGAAAGUUAGGGGAUCGAAGACGAUCAGAUACCGUCGUAGUCUUAACCAUAAACUAUGCCGACUAGGGAUCGGACGAUGUUAAUUUUUCUUGACUCGUUCGGCGCCUUACCGGGAAAC